This 455-nucleotide ribosomal RNA is filed under the name uncultured bacterium. Its description in RNAcentral is "bacterial SSU rRNA". It matches the Rfam family "Bacterial small subunit ribosomal RNA", at positions 349 to 793 of the family's 1533-position model. The record is from RNAcentral.
CAGCAGUGGGGAAUAUUGCACAAUGGGGGGAAAACCCUGAUGCAGCCAUGCCGCGUGUGUGAAGAAGGCCUUCGGGUUGUAAAGCACUUUCAGUAGGGAGGAAGGUAGUGUAGUUAACACCUGCACAUUUGACGUUACCUACAGAAGAAAGCACCGGCUAACUCCGUGCCAGCAGCCGCGGUAAUACGGAGGGUGCGAGCGUUAAUCGGAAUUACUGGGCGUAAAGCGCAUGCAGGCGGCCUGUUAAGUCAGGUGUGAAAGCCCGGGGCUUAACCUCGGAAUUGCAUUUGAAACUGGCAGGCUAGAGUCUUGUAGAGGGGGGUAGGAAUUUCAGGUGUAGCGGUGAAAUGCGUAGAGAUCUGAAGGAAUACCAGUGGCGAAGGCGGCCCCCUGGACAAAGACUGACGCUCAGAUGCGAAAGCGUGGGGAGCAAACAGGAUUAGAUACCCUGGUAG